GGGUUGUCCGUGUUUAAGGUCGUAGGCUGGUGUCUUAGGUAAAUUCGGGAUGCUAAGGCUGAGAACUGAUGACGAGUGUUCCUCGGAACAUGAAGUGCUUGAUGCCAUGCUUCCAAGAAAAGCCUCUAAGCUUCAGGUAAAAAGAGACCGUACUCUAAACCGACACAGGUGGUCAGGUAGAGAAUACCAAGGCGCUUGAGAGAACUCGGGUGAAGGAACUAGGCAAAAUGGCACCGUAACUUCGGGAGAAGGUGCGCCGGUUUUGGUGAAAGGGCUUGCCCCUCGAGCUGAGGCCGGCCGAAGAUACCAGUCCCCUGCAACUGUUUAUUAAAAACACAGCACUCUGCAAACACGUAAGUGACGUAUAGGGUGUGACGCCUGCCCGGUGCCGGAAGGUUAAUUGAUGGGGUUAGCGUAAGCGAAGCUCUUGAUCGAAGCCCCGGUAAACGGCGGCCGUAACGAUAACGGUCCUAGGUAGCGAAAUUCCUUGUCGGGUAAGUUCCGACCUGCACGAAUGGCGUAAUGAUGGGGGAGCUGUCUCCACCCGAGACUCAGUGAAAUUGAAAUCGCGGUUAAGAUGCCGUGUACCCGCGGCUAGACGGAAAGACCCCGUGAACCUUUACUGUAGCUUUGCACUGAACUUUGAACCUAUCUGUGUAGGAUAGGUGGGAGGCUUUGAAGUCGAGACGCUAGUUUCGAUGGAGCCGUCCUUGAAAUACCACCCUGGUAUGUUUGAGGUUCUAACCUAGGUCCGUUAUCCGGACUGGGGACAGUGUAUGGUGGGCAGUUUGACUGGGGCGGUCUCCUCCCAAAGAGUAACGGAGGAGCACGAAGGUUGGCUAAUCCUGGUCGGAAAUCAGGAGGUUAGUGUAAUGGCACAAGCCAGCUUGACUGCGAGACAGACAUGUCGAGCAGGUACGAAAGUAGGUCAUAGUGAUCCGGUGGUUCUGUAUGGAAGGGCCAUCGCUCAACGGAUAAAAGGUACUCCGGGGAUAACAGGCUGAUACCGCCCAAGAGUUCACAUCGACGGCGGUGUUUGGCACCUCGAUGUCGGCUCAUCACAUCCUGGGGCUGAAGCCGGUCCCAAGGGUAUGGCUGUUCGCCAUUUAAAGUGGUACGCGAGCUGGGUUUAGAACGUCGUGAGACAGUUCGGUCCCUAUCUGCCGUGGGCGUUGGAGAUUUGAGAAGAGUUGUUCCUAGUACGAGAGGACCGGAAUGAACGCACCUCUGGUGUUCGGGUUGUCAUGCCAAUGGCAUCGCCCGGUAGCUACGUGCGGACGGGAUAACCGCUGAAAGCAUCUAAGCGGGAAGCCUCCUUCAAGAUUAGAUCUCCCUGGAACUUUAAGUUCCCUGUAGAGCCGUUGAAGACUACGACGUUGGUAGGUUGGGUGUGGAAGCGUCGCGAGGCGUUGAGCUAACCAAUACUAAUUGCUCGUGCGGCUUGACC
RNAcentral lists this ribosomal RNA (1447 nucleotides) under metagenome. RNAcentral's name for it is "bacterial LSU rRNA". It matches the Rfam family "Bacterial large subunit ribosomal RNA", at positions 1499 to 2925 of the family's 2925-position model. The record is from RNAcentral.